AUUGAACGCUGGCGGCAGGCCUAACACAUGCAAGUCGAACGAGUGGCGGACGGGUGAGUAAUGUCUGGGAAACUGCCUGAUGGAGGGGGAUAACUACUGGAAACGGUAGCUAAUACCGCAUACCAUCAGAUGUGCCCAGAUGGGAUUAGCUAGUAGGUGGGGUAACGUCUCACCUAGGCGACGAUCCCUAGCUGGGCUGAGAGGAUGACCAGCAACACUGGAACUGAGACACGGCCCAGACUCCUACGGGAGUCAGCAGUGGGGAAUAUUGCACAAUGGGCGCAAGCCUGAUGCAGCAAGGCCGCGUGUAUGAAGAAGGCCUUCGGGUUGUAAAGUACUUUCAGCGGGGAGGCGUUACCCGCAGAAGAAGCACCGGCUAACUCCGUGCCAGCAGCCGCGGUAAUUC
This 406-nucleotide ribosomal RNA is filed under the name uncultured bacterium. RNAcentral describes it as "partial 16S ribosomal RNA". It matches the Rfam family "Bacterial small subunit ribosomal RNA", at positions 30 to 526 of the family's 1533-position model. The record is from RNAcentral.